RNA transcript from Melanotaenia boesemani (Boeseman's rainbowfish), 8637 nucleotides. It is a transcript of the gene named restin homolog, with no coding region annotated. Lineage: Eukaryota; Metazoa; Chordata; Actinopteri; Atheriniformes; Melanotaeniidae. The record is from RefSeq and is a predicted model, not a curated record. The transcript is spliced from 27 exons.
CCAAACGAGGAUUUUCACGAAAACAUCGACCGCAGGCUGCGCAGCAGAGCCAAAGGGAACGGUACUAAGACGAACAGGACCCGAUGCAAUGGAUCCAGAGGCAUGACAGCCAUCUCAAUGGCGUUUCUAAAGUUGGAUAAGGAUCUUUGGCCUUGAAAAGAAACGUUAGAGGGAUUAAAUAGAUUAAACAGCAAUGACUGCGUUGUCACUUGUUUGAUAGAAAGACGGAGAGAGGGGCCAAAGUGGACUCCCCCUCCCCUCGGUAGAGCCGUUCCACCCGAUGGAGGCUGACGGGACCUUUGCAGUUAGCUCAAGGCCCGGAAUAUCACCUGUGAAGCGUUGACACCUCGUUGCAGGACGCAUUUAAGAAUAAAACGCGCACAUUUGACCGUGUUUGGAACUACUUAUUUAACAACUUCUAAGAAAGCCUGCAUACGGAGAGAAAAGUUCGCAGGUCAACGUUAGCUGAACGAGACAACCCCGCGCGCAAGAUGAACAUGAUUGAUUUAACUUGAGGGGGAGGUUAUUCACAGCCUCAGGUAACUUAGGGCAGGUGAACAGCACGCUAGUUAAUGGACUCAACGCUUUUUUCCUUGCUUGGUUUUUUUUCUUUUUAAACAUACACCCGCAGAUUAACCAUCGGCUUUCGAGGACUCAUCUCUUCACAAGGAUUUUUUUUCUCUCAUCAAGUUUACCUUCUCCAGUAACCAUGUCACUCAAAGACAACGCUUGUCGGAAAUUUCAAGCCAACAUUUUUAACAAAAGCAAAUGUCAGAACUGCUUUAAACCCAGAGAAUCACAUCUGCUGAACGACGAAGACUUAAAUAAGGCAAAACCUAUAUAUGGAGGAUGGUUGCUACUGGCACCAGAGGGAACAAAUUUUGACAAUCCCUUACACAGAUCUCGGAAAUGGCAAAGAAGAUUCUUUAUUCUCUACGAGCACGGCCUACUUAGAUACGCUCUGGAUGAGAUGCCCAGCACUCUACCCCAGGGUACGAUCAAUUUGAACCAGUGCUCUGAUGUCAUAGACGGCGAGUCCAGGACGGGUCAGAAGAACUCAUUGUGCAUCGUCACCCCAGAGAAAGAGCAUUUCAUACGAGCAGAGUGCAAAGAAAUCAUUAAUGGGUGGCAGGAGGCCCUGACUGUGUACCCGAGGACCAACAAGCAGAACCAGAAGAAAAAACGCAAAGUUGAUCCACCUACUCACCAGGACGGAGUAACUCCAAGCCAGUGUUUUUCCACUGAAGACAUGAAUGGACACUCAUCUUUCCGUGAUCUUACCUCCCAUUGUGUCCUUUCCUCUACCCAUCCACACCUCCCAAUUCCAUCCAUUAACCAGGAGCCAGGGCCUGCCAAGGUAACAGUGACCAGCAGCAGCAGUGGAGGCAGCAUCCCAUGCCUGCCCAGCAGUAUUGCCAGCGCUGAGCGGGUCCCGAUGAGCCGUGCCACCCUGUGGCAGGAGGAGAACCGCUGGAGCAGGGCCACCAUCCCCUGCAGCCGCAGUGCCUCCUGCCUCAGCCAGCUGAGCCAGAGCCAAAUAGACGCCAGUAUCACUACUCAAGAUGAUGGUGGCACUGUGAGUACAGGGCGAAAGGUACGAGUAGAGAGUGGUUACUUUUCCCUGGAGAAGACCAAGUCAGAACCUUCUCCACAGUCUACACAUCACUCCCAGCCACCCCAGCAUCUGCCCCUGUCCUCUUCAGCAUCAUCCUCCUCGUUAGGAGCUCCCAGUUCCAGGUACACCUCUGAAUCAGAGCCCCAAAUUUCCCCUCCUCACCCCUCCCAAGAUACUCUCCCCUCUCCAGGUGCACUUGUUUCCCCAAGCUACUCCACCAUCAGCUCUUCCCGGAGCUCACUGGACUCUGAACCCAGUGUUGCUACAUCCACCUGGGAGGGGCGCAGUGGUGAUGGAGGGAGCAAUAGUAGUGUCAGUGGUGGUGGAGGCAGAGUCGGUCGGUCCGGCAGAGAGUAUGCAGCUCUGUCUGAUGUGCCAAGAGCUCGCAGACUGAGCUACAGAGAAGCCUUCCGCUCAGAGAAAAAGCGCCAAGAACUGAGGGCACGCACACGGAGCCCUGGGAGGGAGGAGGUGGCUCGGCUCUUUGGAGAGGAGCGCAGACGAUCUCAAAUCAUCAGCCGCUUUGAGGAGAGUCACCAUGUUGAGCAUAUGGACACAGGCAGCUCUAAUGAUCCUUCAACUAACACCACAGCAAUCCAGAGACAAGGCCGAAGUGAGAGACGCUAUCUGGACAACAAGCAUGAGAUGUCACUCGAUACGGGAAAAGAGUAUUUAGCCCCUGAUGUGUCCUGCUCCAGUUUUGUCAGCUUGAGAAGAGCCAAGUCAUUGGACCGGAGAGUUACAGAGUCUUCAAUGACUCCGGAUCUGUUGAACUUCAAAAAAGGAUGGAUGACAAAGCUUUAUGAAGAUGGAAUGUGGAAGAAACACUGGUUUGUCCUGACAGACCAAAGUUUGAGGUAUUAUAAGGACUCAAUAGCUGAGGAGGCCUCAGAACUAGAUGGUGAGAUUGACCUUUCCACAUGUUAUGAUGUCAAAGAGUUCCCAGUCCAGAGGAAUUAUGGCUUCCAAAUCCUUUGUAAAGAGGGAGCGUGCACCCUGUCAGCCAUGACCUCUGGAAUCCGUCGCAAUUGGAUUCAGGCCAUUAUGAAGAAUGUGCGACCCACUAUUGCCCCAGAUGUCACCCGGAAAAACAUCUCUCUGAAACUAUCCGUUCUGAAGCCCAGAUCCAUUCCUGAUGAGAAGAUAAAAGGUCAUGUGAUGUUGGAGCCAUGUCCACAGGCCACCCCUGAUCUAAGCCCCAGUCCUGAGGUCCCCAGGUCUGAUGGUCGCAGGCAGCCCCCAGGCAGUAAUACCUCCACCUCUCCUUCUGAGCCACGAAAAAGCAGAGUCCGGGAGCGAAGACGAGAGGGUCGGUCAAAAACAUAUGACUGGUCUGAGUUCAAAAUGGAGCAGAAAGAGAAAGAGAAAGAGCGAGCAGACACAGUUGACCUCAGCUCAUCAUGCUCUACAACCUCCUCCUACUGCUCUCCUCAUUCUUCUUCCGCCUCCUCCUUGGCGUCUUCUCCUGUCUCUUCCUCCUCCCUCCAAACCUCGUCUGUAUCGGGGGCUCACCCACCUUCAGUGACUGUGGAAACUGAAAGGGAGAAUGCUAGGAGAGGAAAUCCUCCCCAAAGCACAACCAGUUCAAGUCACACGCCAAAUACUGUAACUGUUAUUUCAACACUUCAUACUGCAGCACCAUCAGCAGCUGAAAGCCAAGAACAAGGGAAGAUGGACGUAGACCAUCCUACUGUUCUUUGUCAAGGGAGGGAAGAUAAAACAGACAGCAAGUCCUCUGAUGUCCAAGAAGAGAUUGAACAGCGAUGGCAUCAGGUGGAAACGACACCAUUGAGAGAAGAGAAGCAAGUUCCCAUCACAACUGCUUUAGGAAACUCUGAACGGCUGCCUCCGCAUGAGCUUGCUGCACUGUUAGACAAGGAGUUGGGACAGAAGCAGAAAGAGCUCAACCAAUUACAAGAGCAGAACAACAUUUUAAAAGAGCAACUGGAAGAUGCCAUUGGGAGAGAACAAAAUGCCAGAGAGGGCUAUGUACUGCAGAGUGCAACGCCUUCCUCUUCACCGCACAGAAUGCCAUGGCAACAUUUGCACAAGCUUAAUCAAGAUUUACAGGAUGAAUUGGAGUCCCAAAAACGCAAGCAGGACCUUGCACAACAGCAAAUACGGACGUUAAAGAGAAGUUACACUGAAGCUCAGGACGCUGUGGACCGCCAUGAGACUGAAAUUCAGGCUCUCCAGGUUAAACUUGCAUCUGCUAUGGCUGAAAUCUUGGCUAGUGAACAGUCUGUAGCCCGAAUGCGGAAUGAGCUAAAGCUAGAGCAGGAGCGCUCAAAAGAACAAGAAGAGGAAUAUGGCCGCAGUGAGGCCACCCUACGAGCCCAGCUAAAGGACAGUGAAGACAGACUCCGUGAAGUAGAAGCAAGCCUCUUGGAGAGAAACCAGGCCCUUAGGCACCUGGAGCGCCAGCAGGCCCUGCAACGAGACCACGUGAGAGAGAUACAGAGGUUGCAGGAGAGGCUGCAAGAGGUGACUGCUCGGUUAAUUGCUACCGAAGAAGGUCAGGCACUGAAAGAGGAGCGUCUGAGGAAGGAGCAGCAUAGCAUGCAAGAAAGUCAUGAGAGGGAACGGCAGAAUCUGUGUAGAAGAUUAGCUGAGGCUGAAACUGCACGCAAGGAAGUAGAAGACAGACUGUUGGAGGCUGAGCAACAGGUCGAGGCCUUGUUGAGAGGGAGGCGGGCCUCAGGGGGCAAAGAAUACAGGGAGGAAAUGCUGAAGUUGCAAGAGCAACUGGCCCAAAAGUCUGACAUGGUUGAAUCAUUGAGGGAAAGUGUACGAAGGCUAGAGGAAGAAAAAGGCCACCUCACCUGUCGCUGUCAGGAACUUCUCAACCAGAUUGCAGAAGCAGACCGUGAGGUGAAUAAGCUCCGCAACCGGCUGGAAACUGAAGAAGCUGAUUACUAUACCCUGGAGCACUCAUAUGAAAGGGCCACUCAGGAGUUUCAAAAAAUGAGCCAGUUUCUAAGAGAGAAAGAGGAAGAGAUCCGACAGACUAAAGAGAUGUAUGAGAGGCUGAUGGAGCGCAAGGAAGAAGAUCUAAAAGAGGCUCUUGUCAAAAUGACGGCUCUUGGCACCAGCCUGGAGGAAACUGAACAGAAGUUACAAGCAAAGGAGGAGCUUCUCUGUCAAAUGACUCAAAGUCUCCUAGAUAAAGCUGAGCCCUGCAAUGCUGAAAAGGACCUGAAAGCCAAGCUUGUGGUUGCAGAGGAUCGCAUUGCAGAGUUAGAGCAGCACCUUAAUGCUCUGCAGCUCGGUUAUGCUGAUCUACGCAUGGAAAGGGAGCAAAUACUAGAACAGGACAGGAAGGGAAGGGCCGAGACAUCAUCCUCUUUAUCAUCCAACACAAAUCUUCCUUUGGAUGAUUUUUCCAAGGCAGAGAACUGCCCCGAUGAUAAAGAGUCUCAAACUAAGAAACCAAGGAUACGGUUUUCAAAUAUUCAGUGCCAAAAAUACAUCUGUCUUGAGGACAUGGACACCAGCCAUGUGAGCAGUGAUUUUGUCGAUGGAGGACAGAAAGAUAACCAGGAUGUAAAUGUAGACUUUCAGUUGGAUGAUGAAAAUGUCUCAGAUAUCACAGUCCCUCAAACAAGUGACCCAGAGAAAUUCAUCUCUAUCAUACACACCUUAGAAACUAAACUGCUUGCAACUGAGGAUAAGCUGAGACAUCUGACACAGAAUUUAGAGGUGCAACAACCCGUCGAGACCGGAGACAUGUCCGAGCCUGAUCUAAAGAUGGCAGAAAAGAAGCCUUGCACAGAGGAAGAGAUUAGUGACGCUAUUAAGUAUUACACCAAGGCCCUGGUGUGUGUUGAAAAUAGUCGAGAGAAAGUAAGGGCUAUUCUCAGCAGUUCCCAUGGUAACACUGAUUCCCAGCUGCACUCGCUGUCAGAGAUAGAGAAUGAUUUGUUUGAUGCGGCUCUUCACAUCCGACAAGGCCAGAAGACGUUGGAAGAACAGUCACCGUGCCAUCAAACACUAACCCCUGAGACCGUAGAUAACGAGGCCCUGCAUCUUUUUGCCAAAACUUUGUCAUUUGAGGCAGUUGUUUUGAACAAGAUGGCUUUGCUGAUACAAACCUCUAAGUCUGAGCUCCUAGAAGCUCUUGUUGAAAUAUGGGAAGACAUGGAUCACAUUAAAAGGAGUGAUAAUGAUUGCUUGGCUAUAGUGUAUGCUGACAUCUUGAUCAGGAAGUUGAUGUUAGAGAGCACAUUCUGGAAGGAAGUGGAGAAAGCCGAGCGAAAUGUCACUAUAACCAAAGAGAGCGGUGCUGAUUUAGAUGUUGACGCCACUGUGGUGUUUAAGACCUUCGUUAAAGCGGAACUAGCCUAUUCAAUUCAAAAUCUUAAACUUUGCUAUGAAGACAAAUUCCAAAUCCUUAAAAGGGAGUUGGCUGAAGCCCAUAGUAACUUACAGCAAAGGGAAACGGCUCUGAAAGCAAUUAUAGAAGCCUCUAAAAGGCCUGAUUUGAAAACUGUAAUAAAAGAGGUCAAACAUGAAUUUGGUCUUGGUAAACGAAGGUUAGCUGACAUUCGCCCCCCUGAACUUGCUCCCUACAUGGAGCAGAUUGAAAUGGAGGAAGCUAGAGAUUUGGCUCAGGAAAUUGUAGAUAGACAGUUGGGGAGUAUAGUUCCCUCUUAUGGUGUUGACUCUGUUGAAUCUUUUCAAAAUGCACAUGAAAGUCUGGCUAAUGAGCUUCAAAGACAAGCAGCAAUCCUACAUACAUUUGCUCAAGAAAUAGAAAGCAGGGGAAGCCAACCUGGACUUUCUAAACUAAUUCAAACUGUUUUAGGGCACCAAGCAUCUCAUAAUUUGAUGAGCACUUCUCUUUGCAUGCGUGAAGCCCUUAUCCAGGCUCAAGUGGCAUAUGUGGCAUGUAGACUACGGUCCAUGCAUGAGCAAGACUUAGGUUUGUGCAAGCAGACCAGCCAAAACAUGGAAGCUCUGGUGCAGCAGCAUGCCUGCAACGUCACAGCAAUCCAAGAAAAAUACGAAGCGUGUCUACACGUGGAGCGACAAAACUUCACACAAACUGUGGCCACACUCCAGGAGGAGAAUCAGACUCUGAAGAGCAAGCUCAGCAAACGUGUGAACCAGCUAUCUGAGCUGCAGGACCGAGCAGCCCUCAUGGAGAAUCAUUUCCAGAAGGAGACUGAAGAUCUGAAGCUGAAGCACAAAAAGGAGCUGAGCCAAGCAGAGCAAGGUUGGACCUCAACAGAGCUGGCCCUCAUGGAGACAGCCACUGACAAUCAGCGAAAGCUAGAGGUCCUACUCGUGGACAUGGACAGCAUGGAGGAACGGCACGAAAGUCAGGUAAGGAGACUCGAGGAGCAAUUUGAGGAGAGGAUCUGUGAGCUACAGCAUAUCCACAAAGAGGAGAUUGAUAAGCUACAUUCUCAGUAUUUGGAAAGCAUUAAGUGUGCCAAAGAGCACCAGCUGGACAAAAAAAGCCGUGAAGUCUCACGCUCACCGCCUUGUGACGAGGCUGGGACACCAAUGGAGGAGGAGGAGCAGGGGAAAGAAGAGGAUGCACAAAACAUGUCAGAAGUGGACUCCAUGGUGCUUCUGAAGGACCGAAUCCAGGAACUGGAGACUCAGAUGAAUAGCAUGAGGGACGAGCUGGAGAACAAGCACCUUGAGGGAGAUGUGGCCAGCCUGAGAGAGAAAUACCAGAGAGACUUUGAAAGUCUUAAGGCCACAUGCGAGCGUGGCUUUGCUGCAAUGGAAGAAACCCACCAAAAGGUGAUAGAAGACCUCCAGAGGCAGCAUCAGAGAGAGAUUUCCAAACUCAUGGAAGAGCGAGAGAGACUGCUAGCUGAGGAGACUGCUGCCACAAUUGCUGCUAUUGAAGCGAUGAAGAACGCACACAAGGAGGAAUUGGAGAAGAACCAGCGCUCCCAGCUGAGUGGACUGAACUCGGAUAUUGACGAACUCCGCUUACAAUAUGAGGAGGAGCUGCAGUCCAUCCAGAGAGAACUAGAGGUGUUGUCAGAGCAGUACUCUCAGAAAUGUCUGGAGAACGCUCACCUGGCUCAGGCGCUGGAGGCAGAGAGGCAGGCCCUCAGGCAGUGUCAGAGAGAAAACCAGGAACUAAACGCUCACAAUCAGGAAUUAAACAACAGAUUGAGUGCAGAGAUCACUCGGAUGCGCUCCUGUUUCAGUGGGGAAACGGCUCUAUCACCACUUACUCAAGGCAAAGACAUUUAUGAGCUGGAGGUGCUGCUACGAAUAAAGGAAUCAGAGAUCCAGUAUCUUAAACAGGAAAUCCACUCUUUGAAGGAUGAGCUGCAGUCUGCAUUAAGGGACAAGAAAUAUGCCACAGACAAAUAUAAGGACAUCUACACAGAGCUGAGCAUUGUGAAAGCAAAGGCCGACUGUGACAUUAGCAAACUGAAGGAGAAGCUGCACAUCGCCACUGAAGCUUUGGGGGAGAGGACUGUUGAUGGCACAGUUACAUCUGGAUAUGACAUCAUGAAAUCAAAAAGUAAUCCAGAUUUCAUGAAAAAAGAACAAUCAGCAUCAUCCAAGCAAUCAAGAGGUGUAAGGUCAAAGUCUGUCACCGAACAGGUCUCAUGGGAUAGCUGACACUCCCAAUGUGGGGUGAUUUCCCCCCUCCCAACCCCUGCCCCAAGAUGUGCUGUAGAGCCUGAAAGAGGGACUCACCGUGCAGGAGCGCAUGAAGCUUUUUGAGUCUAAAGAUUCCAGAAAGAUCUGAAUCUCAGUAUUCUGAAGUUUCUUCUUUUUAUCUGGCCUUUGUCAGAUUGCCACAUCUGUGCCAUCAUGAGCUAAAAAAUGCUUCAUCUGGACUUAUCGUUUCUAUGCCUCUGAUACAUCGUCAUAUUUCUGUUUAACUGGAUUUACAGAAUAUGUCCUGGGACUCUUUUUUUUUUUUUUUUUUUUAAACAGAUGUAUAAUCUGGCCAAGAUGGAGACUUGUCAAAUAAGCUGUGAGAGGGAUAAAUAACAAUUAUAUCAAUCCUCCAAGAUGCCAAAACAGACAAGAAUACACAA